CUGGAUAGGAGACAAGAAGGCAUCUUCUUUUUUUUAAAAGACCUAGCAAUAGGUAUGCUUAGGGAGGAGCUUGCGUCACAUUAGUUAGUUGGUGGGGUAAAGGCCUACCAAGACUAUGAUGUGUAGCCGGGCUGAGAGGUUGAACGGCCACAUUGGGACUGAGACACGGCCCAAACUCCUACGGGAGGCAGCAGUAGGGAAUUUUCGGCAAUGGAGGAAACUCUGACCGAGCAACGCCGCGUGAACGAUGAAGUAUUUCGGUACGUAAAGUUCUUUUAUUAGGGAAGAAUAAAUGAUGGAAAAAUCAUUCUGACGGUACCUAAUGAAUAAGCCCCGGCUAACUAUGUGCCAGCAGCCGCGGUAAUACAUAGGGGGCAAGCGUUAUCCGGAAUUAUUGGGCGUAAAGGGUGCGUAGGCGGUUAAAUAAGUUUAUGGUCUAAGUGCAAUGCUCAACAUUGUGAUGCUAUAAAAACUGUUUAGCUAGAGUAAGAUAGAGGCAAGUGGAAUUCCAUGUGUAGUGGUAAAAUGCGUAAAUAUAUGGAGGAACACCAGUAGCGAAGGCGGCUUGCUGGGUCUUUACUGACGCUGAGUCACGAAAGCGUGGGGAGCAAACAGGAUUAGAUACCCUGGUAGUCCACGCCGUAAACGAUGAGUACUAAACGUUGGGUAAAACCAGUGUUGAAGUUAACACAUUAAGUACUCCGCCUGAGUAGUACGUACGCAAGUAUGAAACUUAAAGGAAUUGACGGGACUCCGCACAAGCGGUGGAUCAUGUUGUUUAAUUCGAAGGUACCCGAAAAACCUCACCAGGUCUUGACAUGCUUCUGCAAAGCUGUAGAAACACAGUGGAGGUUAUCAGUUGCACAGGUGGUGCAUGGUUGUCGUCAGCUCGUGUCGUGAGAUGUUGGGUUAAGUCCCGCAACGAGCGCAACCCUUAUUGUUAGUUACCAGCACGUGAUGGUGGGGACUUUAGCAAGACUGCCAGUGAUAAAUUGGAGGAAGGUGGGGACGACGUCAAAUCAUCAUGCCCCUUAUGACCUGGGCUACAAACGUGAUACAAUGGCUGUUACAAAGGGUAGCUGAAGCGCAAGUUUUUGGCGAAUCUCAAAAAAACAGUCUCAGUUCGGAUUGAAGUCUGCAACUCGACUUCAUGAAGUUGGAAUCGCUAGUAAUCGCGAAUCAGCAUGUCGCGGUGAAUACGUUCUCGGG
RNAcentral lists this ribosomal RNA (1209 nucleotides) under 'Cucurbita moschata' phytoplasma. RNAcentral's name for it is "bacterial SSU rRNA". It matches the Rfam family "Bacterial small subunit ribosomal RNA", at positions 169 to 1378 of the family's 1533-position model. The record is from RNAcentral. Lineage: Bacteria; Bacillati; Mycoplasmatota; Mollicutes; Acholeplasmatales; Acholeplasmataceae.